RNAcentral lists this ribosomal RNA (253 nucleotides) under uncultured bacterium. Its description in RNAcentral is "partial 16S ribosomal RNA". It matches the Rfam family "Bacterial small subunit ribosomal RNA", at positions 524 to 776 of the family's 1533-position model. The record is from RNAcentral.
UACGGAGGGGGCUAGCGUUGCUCGGAAUUACUGGGCGUAAAGCGCACGUAGGCGGCGAUGAUAGUCAGAUGUGAAAGGCCUGGGCUUAACCCGGGAACUGCAUUUGAUACUGCAUUGCUAGAGUCCGAGAGAGGGUAGUGGAAUUCCCAGUGUAGAGGUGAAAUUCGUAGAUAUUGGGAAGAACACCAGUGGCGAAGGCGGCUACCUGGCUCGGUACUGACGCUCAGGUGCGAAAGCGUGGGGAGCAAACAGG